Myotis lucifugus (little brown bat) is the source of this 1042-nucleotide long non-coding RNA. RefSeq lists it as uncharacterized. The transcript has 5 exons. The record is from RefSeq and is a predicted model, not a curated record. Lineage: Eukaryota; Metazoa; Chordata; Mammalia; Chiroptera; Vespertilionidae.
CUGUAGAGCUGGCCGCUCUUGGAGCGCGCCUCGGCGUAGAAGGAGCGCAGCACGCGGCACAGCGCCCCCUUGUCCAUGGUCUCGAAGUCCGGGCUCUGCGCCUUCUCGCUCAGCCCUUUCAGAUGCUGCCUGGACAGUUUGCAAACCACCUGCAGGCCUCCCGCCGGCGUCCCGGACCAAGGACGCACCUUGGAGAGCGGGCCGGCCCUGGUCGCAGGGAGGCUGGCUGAGUCGGCUCCUGGCGCCAGUCCUUGAUCCGCUUCCAAAAUCCUCUGCCCAUCACGAUACGUCGUCACAUGUUGGAAAACACCUCUUGAGAGUUUCACUACUGAAUUCCUUGGACUCCCAUUGAAGACCGUCUUGAGCAAUGUUUUUCUGAACUCGGAUGAAAACAGAACCCGUGCCAUCCCACUCUACAAAGUGGAAGAAGAAAACUCCAGAAGAGCAAGAUCUAUGUCGUAUCGGUCACGGCCAGCCUGAUUCCCUGCCAGCAGAGUUCCCGAGCAUGUGGCUGGCACACGGUGGACGCCCGAUGUUUUUAAAGCAAGCAGUCUGAGGGGAACGUAGUUCUCCAGAAGGCCAUUGUGUUCUUGUGGAGCCUACGAUAUUCUGCUGUCGUCAUAUUCUGAUACCAAAACUUCAUCUGCUCAACAAAGAAGUCCAGGGCUUGGAAAGCACAGAUCCCUGGAGACAGACAUGCCCCGUACGCCUUUCUGGUUCCAUCAGUGACUCUGGCUGCGGCGGCUCCUUCCCAUGAACUCGCACUUGCUCUCCUGAGGACAGGUGAGGGUCGCUCCUAUGUUCCCGGGGAGUGGGCACCCCGAGCGCCUAAAUGACCGCCCGCAUCGCCAGCUCCUGGACAGGACCCUGCAGCGCUCGCAUCCUCAACAACUCGCCCGCCCAGGGCCUCCCGUUCCUUCCCUCCGCCCAGAGAAAACCCUUCCCUUCCAGUGCACGUCCAUGAGCUCCGUCCCACGUGGCUGCUGUCUAAGGCAGUGAUGGCGAACCUAUGACAUGCGAACUCAUUUUUUUGGAUGAUUUU